UUGAUUUGAAGGUUGUUGUGUACUGUACACAAACACACACACAGGUACAUGAUGUUGUAUAACAAACUGUUUACCUCUCGGGCCCUGCCCAGAUUGAGGAGAAGCACCUUAAGCAGGCAGAGGAGAGGGAGAAGCUACGCCUGGAGGAGGUGAAGGAGGAGAGGAGGCUGGCAGAGCAGAGGGCUCAAAUCAAGAGGGAGUUUGACGAGAAUCAGGAGAUCCGAAGACUCAAGGAGAUGAAGGUGCAAAGGGAGAUCUCGCCCCCCAUCCCCACCCUCCAGAAGAGACACAGGGCCCCCCAGUCCACCCCCAGUCCCCCCAGCAUGGACAGUAAACGUCCCACCACCCCCCUGUCUCAAACGGCCAAAAACAAGGAGCUGGUCC
Long non-coding RNA from Osmerus eperlanus (European smelt), 384 nucleotides. RefSeq lists it as uncharacterized. The transcript has 3 exons. Lineage: Eukaryota; Metazoa; Chordata; Actinopteri; Osmeriformes; Osmeridae. The record is from RefSeq and is a predicted model, not a curated record.